GACUGCUGUAGCACUAGAAGGGCACUCACUAAAGCUCCGGGACCCACUGCCUGCCCCUGGAAGGCAGCUCUGCCUUUAACCUGUGUGGGCAGGGCCAUGGCACUGAACUCUGUACUCCAAUGUCCCCUCCCUAGGAGGGAUGGUCAUUGAACACCUACCAGUUGGGGAACUUUGAUAAUCAGUGUCACAACAACGUCAUGGAAGAGGCAGUGUGGAGAUGUUGCUAUGGAUGAUGUUGAGUGAGGGUUGAAGGAGGCUACUUCAUUCACAGACGUCCACUCACCUGGCUAUGCACAUUCAUCUGGAAUGGAAGGUGGUGACUAAGGAACCAGCAGAUAAGAGAUUUGUAUCUUUUAGGGUUGACCUACAUAUUUCAUCCCCAAGAAGCUGGAGACCAUGCCACUUAAUACAUCCUGUGGAUAAUAUUAAACAUAUGUGAUAAGUGGCGUUAUCCUGCCCUUGAGAAACUUGUCGUCUAAUUGAGGAGAAGAGACCUCACAUGUGGAACAAUCCAGAAGUACUUAAGGCACCUACCACAAAGGCUUAACACAUUAAAGGACUGAGAAUUAUUUGGCUAUAAAAAAGAAUCUGCUAAAUUAAUGGCAUGGCCAAUACAUGCCAUAUUUCCAAAGAGGGUGCUACAAGUAUGAGCCAAAAUUACCUGGGGAUGUUCGAGAAGGCAGUGAGUGUAUAAGCUGAACUUUAAGGAAAUCUGUAGGAGUUGAAGGGGUAGAGGGGAAAAACAAGGGCAUUCUAGGUGGCAAGGCUGCUGCAUGCCCAUCCACAUGUCCCCAGGUAGGUCCGGGAGGAAUUGGAGAGGUUGGAAAAGGGGUUGGAGCGGCAGGUUUCAUAAAAGUUUACACCCGGUUCUCCAGGUAAAGGCAGCAUUUGACAAGUUGCCUUUUCUUUAAAUCAGAGUAGUGGCAGGUACGAAAGCAUGGGCUGAGGGCCACUGGCUGUGGUGAACAGGAUGUUCUGGGUGAUACAGGGAAUAGGGUGUCCUGCUGGGGAGGUCCUCUAAUGGACCCAGCAGCGAGAGAAGAGGGCAUGAGAAUGAUGAGUGGCCCCCUUAAGUGCCAAAUGCCUUUCAUAUAUGAUCCCGUUUGUUUUUAUCCUCUGGAAAUCCUGCACAGUGGCUCUGGCUCUCCUUACUUUAAAGAUGAAGAAACUGAA
Long non-coding RNA from Eubalaena glacialis (North Atlantic right whale), 1173 nucleotides. RefSeq lists it as uncharacterized. The transcript is spliced from 4 exons. NCBI's taxonomy places the organism in Eukaryota, Metazoa, Chordata, Mammalia, Artiodactyla, Balaenidae. The record is from RefSeq and is a predicted model, not a curated record.